AAAGCGGAUUCUGCGCGUAUUUUUCGACGAUUUUAUAAAUGUGAUCAUCGUCAGUCUGCGAAUGGCGGUGGUGAAUAUUAAUAUGAACCAAACGAGUUUGUCUAUGUGCCUAGCUGCACAAGUGCACGCGAACAUAUUAUAAUUAUUUGUAAUAAAAACGGACAUACUUUACACGAUGUGCGAACAUCCCUGUUGUAGGUGAGAAGUUGAAAAAAUAGAAUACUGAAGGGAA
Cinara cedri is the source of this 232-nucleotide non-coding RNA. NCBI's taxonomy places the organism in Eukaryota, Metazoa, Arthropoda, Insecta, Hemiptera, Aphididae. The record is from the annotation of a GenBank genome assembly.